Papaver somniferum (opium poppy) is the source of this 2273-nucleotide long non-coding RNA. RefSeq lists it as uncharacterized. The record is from RefSeq and is a predicted model, not a curated record. The transcript has 8 exons. NCBI's taxonomy places the organism in Eukaryota, Viridiplantae, Streptophyta, Magnoliopsida, Ranunculales, Papaveraceae.
UCCUCGCACCCCAUCUAUUCCAAAGCAGAGAGAGAAAACUCCUUAUUCUCCGCCUCUCUUCCUCUCUGGUUUCUCUGUAUUUCUCUUCCUCCCUCACCUCAAGCCACCACCACUACCAUCAUCACUUUCAUGGCCGAGAAGUAAAAUCAGAGGAAUGAUUAUGAACUUGAUAAACCAUACAACCUACCUGUCUCUAUCUACCCUUCUUUCUGUCUCUAUCUCUCUGAAUAUGUUGCUGCUGCUUCGACUUCAGAAAAAAAAAAAGAAGUAAAGUUCCCACAUAGGAACCAUUUUCCUCUCAUCCUUCUCACCCGUUGAUCCAACCAUAUACUCAACGAAAGUUUCUUGUAAUUGAAUGAGAAAGACGGAUCUAGCUCCUAUGAAGUUGUCUUGGUGCUAAUCUGGCUGCCCCAACUUAUAAAUCUGGAGACAAAGGGAAUGAAUCGGUUUUUAUACUUGUUUGGUACUAAGCAGCUUUGCAACUUAAGAAAAGUGGUAGACUGAAAAAGUGAUAGAUUGAAUGUGAAGGUGCUACUUUUUCUGAGGUGAUGUAGAAAUGAUUGUUAUCUCUGGGAGAGUUGUUAUCCGGCUUGCUAGAAGGCUUAACGAGUUUUUCAAUCAGAUAAUGCCUAAAACUUGAAUCACCAAACAGCUUGGGAAAUGAAUCCCUAUUUUGGCAUGUGUAGACACCUAUGUUCAUCGCUCCACAGCAGCAGGGUGGUGUCACCUCUAGAGCACAGAGUAAUGUCGGAAACUCUUCUCAGGUCUCACAAUUUGUUCAUCAACAGGUCAACCAACAUUUCCAGUCAAUCCCUCUUCCAACCAAUGUUGCAGGACAGUUCUGUACACCAGGAUUUGAUCAACUCAAGCUUCCAGUCACCUGUUAUCAUGAACAAGUUGUCACAGAUUAUGGGUGAUUCAACUAAGUGACAUCCUGUCGGCAGAAUUCGGAGUAGCUCUUGCAGUGUGAGUGCACAAGAUUCUUCAGUAAACUAGACCUCGAGUAGGCAUGCAAAAGCAAGUGCAUAUGUCCUCCGAAACUUCGUUGGAGGAUGCCCUUCCUUCUCUUUUAUGCCAACGUGUCUACAUGUUCUGAUCACCAUGAAGUAAAGCCUGCAUAGUGUGAAUAAAUCAGAAAGUUGUUGAGUUUUAAGUUGCAAGGGUGCAAGAUGAAUCUAAAGUGCUGACUGCAGAGAGUGGAAUGUAACUUGGGAUGGCUCCUGAGGGUUAGCAUUUUUAGUGUUCUCUUCUAGUUUCCUUCAGUAGUCAUUAGACUCAUAACCUUCGGAGUCUUUCCAGACAGGAACUUAUGUUACUACAUUGUGUUUUUCAAAUUUCUUACAUUUAGACAUUCAUCUAUAUCCUCCAUGUUGGUUUCUGUGCAAAUUAUGAUUAAAACCCUAGCCGAUAGGCAUUAAAAAUUUGGAUAACUGAGGUUACGCCGCAACCACAACAUGUAGGUCAUAGAGCAAAGCCUUACGAUCACAAGGCGAACAUUUUCAGUUUCACAAUUGUGUUGUAGGAGAUGCUGACUAAAAAGGUAAAAACUCUAGUAAAAUUUUGUUUGGAAACACUGAACUUGGCGAGAAUUCUUAAGUAAAAUAUACACUUCACUUCAAAUAUACAGUUUUACUAAUUGUUACCAUGUGCCUUAACAUGCAGCUUCUUUACGAGUACAUGCCUACGGUUUUCACUGCCUAUAUAUGGUUUAUUUGUCCGUCUCAAUGAAGUCACUAUGUAAAUGUUGUUGUUGUCUUGAUUAUCUUUUUCACCCGAAAGAUUUAUUAUGAAAUGAUAGACCACCUCCGUGUAUAUUAUUAUCGACUAGUCAUGUAAACCUAGCAUAUAAGGCUUGACUUUUUACUCUUCUUCUGAAUGUAGUUCGAUACCUUCAUGGAUGCCGUCACUCUCUUCCCGUUGAUGGUCUCAUGAGGGUUGAUGAUGUCAUGGUUGAUGGUGAAAUCGUUGUUGCUGUUGGAUAAGGGAAAUAUUGGAAAGGGUUGUGCUUCUACAGGAUCUUCUCUCAAGCAAGCUGGUGCCAAGGUCCUAAUGACUGAAAUUGUGGUUGAAAAUUUUAGGACUUGUUGUAUCACUUCUCUUUAGGAAACCUUAACAAUAGGGAGUUGAAUUCUUUUUUUUUAAUGACUUUAGACUAAAUUUAUGAGCACAGUUCAAUGUAAUGGAGCUGUCAUUUGGUAUUAGAUGAUUCAGGUUUUAUUUGGAAUUUGAAUCUGAAUUUAAAUUGAAUUUUAGUAUUUUAAUAUUAUUUGUCA